RNAcentral lists this ribosomal RNA (476 nucleotides) under uncultured bacterium. RNAcentral describes it as "SSU rRNA". It matches the Rfam family "Bacterial small subunit ribosomal RNA", at positions 26 to 511 of the family's 1533-position model. The record is from RNAcentral.
AGGAUGAACGCUGGCGGCGUGCCUAACACAUGCAAGUCGAACGCGCUCCAUUCAGUAGCAAUACUGAUGAAGAGUGAGUGGCGAACGGGUGAGUAACACAUGAGCAACCUGCCCCGAAGACUGGGGCAACACCGGGAAACCGGUGCUAAUACCGGAUAUCCCUAUCGGACCGCAUGAUCUGAUAAGGAAAUGGAUUCCGCUUCGGGAGGGGCUCGUGGCCUAUCAGCUAGUUGGUGAGGUAAUAGCUCACCAAGGCAUCGACGGGUAGCUGGUCUGAGAGGACGAUCAGCCACGCUGGGACUGAGACACGGCCCAGACUCCUACGGGAGGCAGCAGUGGGGAAUCUUGCGCAAUGGGCGAAAGCCUGACGCAGCAACGCCGCGUGGAGGACGAAUGCUUUCUGAGUUGUAAACUCCUUUCAGCAGGGACGAUUGUGACGGUACCUGCAGAAGAAGCACCGGCCAACUACGUGACCG